Molecule: non-coding RNA, 216 nt
Filed under: Cellulosilyticum lentocellum
Lineage: Bacteria; Bacillati; Bacillota; Clostridia; Lachnospirales; Cellulosilyticaceae
Description: Clostridium lentocellum T-box sequence
Rfam family: T-box leader
About the family: Uncharged tRNA acts as the effector for transcription antitermination of genes in the T-box leader family. T-boxes are found upstream of many aminoacyl-tRNA synthetase genes and some amino acid biosynthetic genes usually in Gram-positive bacteria. The anticodon of a specific tRNA base pairs to a specifier sequence within the T-box motif, and the NCCA acceptor tail of the tRNA base pairs to a conserved bulge in the T-box antiterminator hairpin.
Source: RNAcentral
UUAAAAACAAUGAUGCGAAGUAGUAGGAAAGUCGUUUUAUCAGAGAGCUACUGGGUGGUGUGAAGUAGUAAAAUGGAUUUUGUGAACUCGUCGCUAAGUUCCAGGCUGAACUCAUAGUAGGUCAUGGCGGGUCUUCCCGUUAUAGAAGUUUGAGUGUGUAGGGGAUUCCCUGCAAAUAAGAGUGGUAACGCGGAAAUAGAACCUUUCGUCUCUUGG